This 530-nucleotide ribosomal RNA is filed under the name uncultured marine eukaryote. RNAcentral's name for it is "bacterial SSU rRNA". It matches the Rfam family "Eukaryotic small subunit ribosomal RNA", at positions 618 to 1146 of the family's 1831-position model. The record is from RNAcentral.
GUUAAAAAGCUCGUAGUUGGAUUUCUGCGGGGGCGGGGCGGCCGGAUGCUUAUAGCAUCUCGAGCUAGCACUUCCCCCGCAUCCUGCCGCGAACCGUGCUACCAUUAGUUUGGUGGCGCUGGGGAUCGGCUCGUUUACUUUGAGAAAAAUAGAGUGUUCAAAGCAGGCCACACGCCUUGAAUAAGUUAGCAUGGAAUAAUGAUAAAGGACUUCGGUUCUAUUUUGUUGGUGUUCGGGACUGAAGUAAUGAUUGAUAGGGACAGUUGGGGCGGUCAGUAUUCCAAAGCGAGAGGUGAAAUUCUUAGACCUUCGGAAGACUAACAGCUGCGAAAGCGUUCCGCAAGGAUGUUCCCUUUGAUCAAGAACGAAAGUUGGGGGAUCGAAGACGAUCAGAUACCGUCGUAGUCUCAACUAUAAACUAUACCAGCUAGGGAUCGGCCGACGUUUACUUAUAUCGACUCGGUCGGCACCUUAUGAGAAAUCAAAGCAUCUGGGUUCCGGGGGGAGUAUGGUCGCAAGGCUGAAACUUA